This 460-nucleotide ribosomal RNA is filed under the name uncultured bacterium. RNAcentral describes it as "partial 16S ribosomal RNA". It matches the Rfam family "Bacterial small subunit ribosomal RNA", at positions 338 to 795 of the family's 1533-position model. The record is from RNAcentral.
CCUACGGGAGGCAGCAGUGAGGAAUAUUGGUCAAUGGUCGGGAGACUGAACCAGCCAAGCCGCGUGAGGGAUGAAGGUACAGAGUAUCGUAAACCUCUUUUGUCAGGGAACAAAGGCGGGGACGUGUCCCCGGAUGAGUGUACCUGACGAAAAAGCAUCGGCUAACUCCGUGCCAGCAGCCGCGGUAAUACGGAGGAUGCGAGCGUUAACCGGAUUUAUUGGGUUUAAAGGGUGGGCAGGCGGUCUGUUAAGUCAGCGGUGAAAGCCCCGGGCUUAAACCCGGCCCCGCGGUUGAUAUGGGCAGUCUCGAGUUGGAGAGAGGUAUGCGGAAUGCGCGGUGUAGCGGUGAAAUGCAUAGAUAUCGCGCAGAACUCCGAUUGCGAAGGCAGCAUGCCGGCUCCACACUGACGCUGAGGCACGAAAGCGUGGGUAUCGAACAGGAUUAGAUACCCGAGUAGUC